AGAGGGUGCGAGCGUUAAUCGGAAUUACUGGGCGUAAAGCGUACGUAGGUGGCGUAUUAAGUUAACUGUGAAAGCCCCGGGCUCAACCUGGGAAGGCCAGUUAAUACUGAUAUGCUAGAGUACAGUAGGGGGUAGUGGAAUUUCCGGUGUAGCGGUGAAAUGCGUAGAUAUCGGAAGGAACACCAGUAGCGAAGGCGGCUACCUGGACUGAUACUGACACUGAGGUACGAAAGCGUGGGGAGCGAACAGGAUUAGAUACCCUGGUAGUCCACGCCGUAAACGAUGUCAACUAGCUGUUGGUCUCAUAUAAGAGAUUAGUGGCGCAGCUAACGCGUUAAGUUGACCGCCUGGGGGAUACGGCCGCAAGGUUA
This 371-nucleotide ribosomal RNA is filed under the name uncultured organism. RNAcentral's name for it is "partial 16S ribosomal RNA". It matches the Rfam family "Bacterial small subunit ribosomal RNA", at positions 527 to 896 of the family's 1533-position model. The record is from RNAcentral.